RNAcentral lists this long non-coding RNA (14965 nucleotides) under Triticum aestivum (bread wheat). RNAcentral describes it as "long non-coding RNA (TAES_LNC027614)". The record is from RNAcentral. Lineage: Eukaryota; Viridiplantae; Streptophyta; Magnoliopsida; Poales; Poaceae.
CAACAACGAAAGGUCCCACGUUUAGCAAGCAAAUCAACAUAUAGCAGUGCUUGCACACAAACAACAGAAGGUCUCCGAUAUACAUUUAUCAUACGAGAAUGCUAUUUUCCUGCCGACUAGCAGUUAGCGACAGGCACAUACGAUCGCUUCUCUUUGUUUUUUUUCCUUGCUGGGGAGUCGAACCUGGUAUCUGAUAGAUCCAGCAAUAUUAGGAAUCUACCAACAACCACCUAAACAAACUCUAUGUUGUGAUUUGAUUCUUGUUACGUAUUUUUCAUACCUUUAUGCUGAGGUAGACUUUUCUACUCACAUAUCUGGUCGAGUGUUAUUCUGCUGUCGUUUUCGGUUUUUUUUUACAAACUUUUUACCAAAAAAAUAUACAAAACAUACAUUUUUAUCAAAAAAAAUUAGAGAUGUGAGUUGAGCUCACGAUUUAACAUAUAAGACUAGACUCUUGUACUCUUUGUACAUAGAUAUGAGCUGAGUUCAUGGUCUUAACAAGAUAAGUUAUUCACCGCAACCUUGAUAACUUACGUACAAAUAUUGUAGAAACUUCGAUCAGGUGAAAAACCAUUUUUGAAACACACCCCGAUAACUCGUGCGAAAAAUAGCAUGAUAAUAUAAGUACCAUAUACAUGAUAAUUUUGGUCCAGUGGGGGAGUGUUGUUUGACGAUAAUUUAUGUGUAAAUAGCAUGGUAACUCACACAUAACAAACUUGAUCACUUAUAUACAAAAAUCGUGAUAACUUUUGUACAAACAUCCUUAUAGCGUGCUAGUGGUGUGGCCCACGUAAACGACUUGUUUUUGGCGAGAUAUAGAUCUCAUAACUUGAUGAACAAAUAUUAUGCUAACUUUGACCUAGAAAAAAGUUGCUUAAAUAUACUCCGGCAUCUUCAGUGGUACGUAAGACUCACGGUAUUUUUGACCCGGCAGAAAAUAGUGGUUAAAUACACAACUUGAUGACUUCAAUAUAAAUAGCAUGAAAAUAUGCGCACCAUAGACCAGAUAACUUAGGGGCACAGACAAUGUGAUAACUUUGAUCUGGGAUUUUUCUUUCUUAAAAUCAUAUCUUCAAUUACUUAUGUGUAAAAUAAUAUGGUAAUAUACGCACCGCUUACCUGAUAACUUAGGUCCAAACACCACGGUAAUUUUUAUCCAGGAAAGAAAAUGUUGAAGACACAUCCGCGAUAACUUCUGUAUAAAUAGCAUGAUAAUAUACGACAACAAACCUGAUAACUUAGGUACAAAUACCCUGGUAACUUUAAUCUGAGGAAAAAAGGUUGUUUAAAAUGUAACUCCGGUAACUUUUGUGUGCCCACACAUCUGAUAACUUAUGUACAAAACACCAUAGUAACUUUUUACUUGGGCGAAAAUAUUUGUUGUGCGUGAGUUAUCAUGGUGUUUGUUCGUGAGUUAUCAGGUUCGUGCGUAUACAUUAUCAUGCUCUUUACAAAAAAGUUACCGGGGUAUGUUACAACUUUUUUUCUUCGGGCAAAAAGUUAAGCAGUGUUUGUGAGUGAGUUAACAGGUUUGCGGCUUAUAUAUUACCAUGCUCUUUAUAAAGAAAUUAUUGGGGUUUGUUACAACAACAAAAAAUCAUGUGGUCAGAAAAUUUACCAUAGUGUGUUGUGCGUGAGUUAUCAGAUUCAUGACGUAAUAAAUUAUCAUGCUCUUUUUCCAGAUAAGUUAUCGGGGUGUGUUACAACAACACUUUUUCUUCAUAGUUACCACGGAGAUUUGUGAGUGAGUUAUCAGGUUCGUGGCGUAUAAUUACCAUGCUCUUUUACAGAUAAGUUAUCGAGGUGUAUUAUUACAACACUUUACCUAGGGUCAAAAGGUUACAAUGGCGCGCGAGUUAUCAGGUCUAUGAUGCAUGGAUUACCAUGUACAAAAGGAAAGGAAAUUUGGCAAAUAAAAAAGAAAGAAAGAAAACAGCUUAUUUUUCUGGUCGCGUAUGUAGAAGUACAAAUAUUUAUUGGCAUUCUAUGUAAUCACAACUUGAAACUAGACCAGAUGGAUAUGACAAGCGAUCUUGAAUCAAGAGGUAGUGAGUUUAACUCCCACCUUAUAGCACUUUUUACCAUGUUUUUUCUACCACGCUAGGAAAUAAAAUGAAGCGGGAGAAGCGAUGGGAUGGGAUCGAGAAAGAAGGAUGUGCGCCAGAAAAAUCGCACGGGAUAUGUUUACCACAGUCCGGUAUAAAUAUUACCCAACCUAAUUAUAGUUAGAAUUUAAGCUAGUUCAGUUGGUUGUGAACAGCUAUGGUGAACUGUACGUAGUGGGUUCGACUCCCACUACGUACAUUUUUUUUUACCACGCCAGAAAAAAAACGCUGAGAGCGAUAGCACAGUCCUUUAUCAUAACAGCGUGUAUAUCAGAGACGAUGAGGGGAUGGUGUACAGAACGCAGUAGAAGAGAGCAAUGGUGGAAGCAGGCGCGCGGCGGGCGAUGUUGCAAAACACAUACCAGUCCGCCAUCUGCCUUCGCCCUUUCCCCUUCGCAACAGAGGCGUGGAAGCAGAAAGAUAUUUUCAUGGGCCCCCUUCUAGGAUGCAGCGGCCGUGGCCGCGAAUGCUUGCCACGGUCGUCGAAUUCGUUGUGCCUCAUUGAGGAUCUGGGACUCUGGGGAUCGGCAAUGGAACAAAGGCCCGACCUAAACGUGUUAGCACCCAGCUGGAGUCCCGCUUCCGCAGCAAAAAUUCAGGGCCGCCGGAGAAGUUAGAGGCCAGGGCUACCAGACCUAGGAGAUGGCGUUGGGGAUGGGUCGCCUGCCAUCGAGUGAGGCAGCGCAACCUCAUAGGUGAUGCCCAUCUUCCAUGGAGCCUUCAAGAUUUCUGACCGGAGAGAAGAUGGACGUGCACACCAUUGAGAAACAGAAUAGGUUGGAGGCUGAGGAUAAGUGACAGUCCGUCUCAGGUAUUAAAGAGGAGAAUGUCUCGUUGGUUUCAGAAAAGUAAAUGUCUCGUGGGUUUCAGAAGAGAAAGAGUAAGAGGAAACGAUGAGUAAUUAAACCAGACGAUUUAAAUUGUGUAAUUCUUUUGCUGAGGUGGCCAAUUUGCUUAGUUGGAUGGAUGCAUGAUGAUGAUGUGGACAGUGUGCAUAUUGAGAGAAUUGGUUGUAGUGGGGAUCAACUUCUUAAAAAUGUAAGAUAAAGAAAAACAAAAACAAAAAACCGACGAAAAAAAGGCCAAACAAAACUAAAAAAACAAAAAAAAACUAGACUGAGAAGAUGAACAACAAGUGGAAUAAAAGAAGUAACUAGGUGCAACAAGUUUGUUGUCCUAGUUGGUUACAGUAGGUGGAAGUAAACUAGGAGGUUGGGAGUUCGAAUCCUACCUCUUUGCACCUAUUUUUUCGAGGGAUCUCAAACUUUAUUAAAAAUGAACAAUAUUCAACAUGAUACAAAGAGGGUCAUCAGGGGAUAGAAGCCACACAUUGUGACCCUGAGGAAUCAAUAUAGCAAAUUCUACAAUGUUAUGUGCCUCCUUUCACAAUACUCUUCUGAUGUUUAUCUCUUUCACAAUAGUGAUAUGGGGCAUCCCAACCCCUUUUUGACGGUGUAAUGAUACGUCUCUAACGUAUCUAUAAUUUAUGAAGUAUUCAUGCUAUUAUAUUAUCAACCUUGGAUAUUUUAUAUGCAUUUAUAUGCUAUUUUAUAUGAUUUUGGGGACUAACCAAUUAACCUAGUGCCUAGUGCCAGUUUCUGUUUUUUUCUUGUUUUGCGUUUUACAGAAAAGGAAUAUCAAACGGAGUCCAAUUGACGUGCCAAUUUUUGACGGUUUUUUAUGGACCAAAAGAAGACCCCGGAGUAAAAGAGUUGGGCCAGGAGAGUCCCGGGGCGUCCACGAGGGUGGGGGGGUGCGCCCACCCACCCACCCCCCCCCCCAGGCGCGUGGGCCUGCCUCGUGGAUGCCUCGGGCACCUCCUUGACGUGAGACCGAUGCCAAAAAUUCUUGUAAAUACAGAAACCUCGGAAAAUUAACCUAGAUCGGGAGUUCCGCCACCAGAAGCCUCCGUAGCCACCGACAACCAAUCUAGGCCCUCUUUGGCACUCUGCCGGAGGGGCCAUCAUCACCGGAGGGCAUGGAGGAGGAUCCCGGAGGGGCCAUCAUCACCAUGAAGGCCAAGGACCAGAGGGAGAACCUCUCCCCAUCUAGGGAGGAGGCCAUGAAGGAGGAAGCACAAGGGGGAGAACCCCUCCUCCUCUAUCUCGGUGGCACCGGAGUGCCAUUGGGAGGGGAAUCAUCGCCGCGGUGAUCGUCUUCAUCAACAUCACCAUCACCAUCCUCAUCUUUUUUACGUGGUCCACUCUCCCGCACCCCGCUGUAAUCCCUACUUGAACAUGGUGCUUUAUGCCACAUAUUAUGAUCCAAUGAUGUGUUGCCAUCCUAUGAUGUUUUGAGUAGAUAUCCUUUGUCUUUGGGUUGAUUGAUGAUCUAGAUUGGUAUGAGUUGUAUGUUUUACUUUUGUGCUGUCCUAUGGUGCCCUCCGUGUCGCCCAAGCAUGAGGGAUUCCCGCUGUAGGGUGUUGCAAUAUGUUCAUGAUUCGCUUAUAGUGGGUUGGUAAGUGACUGAAACACAAACCCGCGUAAGGGGGUUGUUGUGUAUGGGAAUAAAGAGGACUUGAUGAUUUAAUGCUAUGGUUGGGUUUUACCUUAAUGAUCUUUAGUAGUUGUGGAUGCUUGCUAGAGUUCCAAUCAUAAGUGGAUAUGAUCCAAGUAGAGAAAGUAUGUUAGCUUAUGCCUCUCCCUCAUAUGAAACUGUAAUAGUGAUUCCCGAUCUUGUUAACGAUUGCCUAGGACAAUUCCGCACACCAAUCCACCAUUAUUCCACACUCGCUAUUUAUAAUAUUUAGUAAUAUAUUCUAACUUUAUGAUAACAGCACCUACUUUUAUAUUUUAGCUCUCUGAUAUCAUACAAAGUUAUCCUCUUCAUACCCACAUCAUAGUUUUAUUUCUCGUUGCUAGUUGGAAGCAAAUGUUCGGUGUACGUAGAGUCGUAUCAGUGGCAUAUAGGGCUUGAGAGAAUAUUGAUAUUAGCUUUAGCUCCUUGUGGGUUCGACACUCCAUACUUAUCACUUCCACCUUUGGAAAUUGCUACGAUGAUUCCCUGCACUUGGGGAUUAUCAAGCUCUUUUCUGGCGCCGUUGCCGGGGAGCAAUAGUGUGGGGUUGAUAUUCUCGUGUAUGCUUGUUUGCUUUCUUCACUAAGUAGAUUUUGUUCUUCCUUUUUGUUUCUAUUUAGUUGUGGGUGAAACAUACAUUUUUUUUGAAAAUACCAAAAAAAAUUACUUGCCUCUCAUGCCUAAAAAGUUUUUCAAAAAGAGAAGUGAUUGGAAAGUUAUGCAUUGAAGAAGUGAAGGUCGACCUUGAGCACUUGUGUUCAUGCUCACGGAAACAAUGUAGAAUUUUUCAUGGAAGUUUCUCUGUAAAUAAUUAUCCCCUUGUAUAUAUCCAUUGUAUUCUAAAAACAAUGUGCCAAGCUUUGGUUUUAGGAUGAUUAGAUUGCUUGUGUACUAUGUGCAGAACAAAAACAGAAACUUUGGAUGUAGCGCGUGAUUUUACAUUUUUUACUGGAAAGUAAAAUGGGUCUGAAACUUUUUGCACAUUACUUCUGUAUAAAUUUUUUAAAUUGCAAAAUUUAUUUCAUAAUGUUUGGAGUUACAUAAGUUUACUAAACCUUCAGAUUACUACAGACUGUCCUGUUUUAGACAUAUUCUUUUUUUUCGUGUGUUGUUUGCUUGUUUUGAUGAAUCUAUGGGUAGUAUCGGGGGUUAUGAACCAUGGUGAAGUUGGAAUACAAUAGAUAUAGUUUUAAUAUGAAAUUGGAAUGAGUUUUCAACAGUACCUAAAGUUAGUGAUUUGCUUUAUUAAACUAACGGAUCUCACAAAGUUUUUGUUAAAGUUUUUGGUGGAUGAAGUGUUCAAAGAACGAUGAGUUACCGAUGUAAGAAGAAUAAAGAGAGGCAAGAGCUCAAGCUUGGGGAUUCCCAAGGCACCCCAAGUAAAUAUUCUAAGGAUACUCAAGCAUCUAAGCUUGGGGAUGCCCCGGUUGGCAUCCCAUCUUUCUUCUUCAACAAAUUAUCGGUACACCUCGGCUUUUGUCUUGUUCACAUGAUUUGUGUCCUUUGUGUUUUUCUUUAAGAACCAUGCUAGUAUGAGAUGUACCUUCAUAAGUUUAUAGAAUACUUCAUGUGCUUCACUUAUAUCUUCUAAGUAUGAUCUUAUAGAAUUGCUCUUUGAGCUUCACUUAAAUCUUUUGAGUAUGGUUUUAUAGAAUGCUUCGUGUGCUUCACUUAUAUAUUUUGAGUUUGGAUAUUGUUUAGUCUAUAUUAAUUGUAGAAUGCUCCAUGAACUUCACUUAUAUAUUUUGGAGUAUGAAUAAUACUAUAAUCUAAAGCGGGUUUGGAAGAGUGUCAAAGGAACUAUUGAUCCCGCUAUUCCGAAUGGGGAGAAUUUUGCUUAUGUGGAGAGUAGUAAAAUUUCUAUGCUCGUAGAUCAUGAAAAGAAUGCUUUAUGUGAUGGUAAUAUUUUUGAACUCAUUCAUGAUGCUACUGAAAAUUAUUAUGAGGGAGGAAUACAUGCUUGUAGGAGUGCAAUAGUAUCAAGUUUUCCUCUCUGUGUGCUUAAAGUUUUGAAGUUAUACUUGUUUUGCCUUCCUAUGCUAGUUGAUUCUUGUUCCCAUAAAUAGUGUGCUCACAAAAUCCCUAGGCUUAGGAAGUGGGUUAGGUUUAAAUGUGCUAGUCAUAUCCUUCAUGAUGCUCUCUUUAUGUUCAAGUCUUAUCUUUCAUGUGAGCAUCAUUGAAAUCAUCAUGCCUAGCUAAAAGGCAUUAAAGAAAAGCGCUUAUUGGGGGACAACCCAAUAUUUACCCUUAUUGUUUUUGUGUGUUUACAUGAUGAAGCUAAUGUAGUAAUCAUGUUUUAUAGAUUUUGUUUCAAUAAAGAGCCAAGUAAGACCUUUGGGAAGACUUGGGUGAAAGUUAAUGUGAUCUUGUUGUAAAAAAUAGAAACUUUGCGCUCACGAGAUUAGCUACCAUUUUUUUACAGAAGAGUGCUUUGGUGCUGAUUCUUUUUACAGAAGAUUAAUAGACAAAUUCCUCAUGCCCACAAAUUUAUUUCAUAAUUUUUUCAGUAGCAUAAGUAUGGUUAGUGUUCAGAUCAUUACAGACUAUUCUGUUUCUGACAGAUUCUAUUUUCAUUGCAUAGUUUGCUUGUUUUCUAGUUUCCAUGACUUAUAUCCCUCAAUAUAAAUUGUAGGAAUGAUAUGGUACAGUAGGCAUUGUGUGAGAACAAUUAUGAUCUUUGUCUUUGACAAUACCAAGGUGAAUGGUUUACUCUAUAUCAUACUAACCUAUCUCACGAAGUUCCAUUAAGUUUUGUGUGAUUGAAGUUUUCAAGCUUUGGGUGAGAUAUCGAUAUGAGGAGAAUAAGGAGUGGAAAGAACCUAAGAUUGGGGAUGCCCAAGGCACCCCAAGGUAAUAUUCAAGAAAGACUCAAGCGCCUAAGCUUGGGGAUGCCCCGGAAGGCAUCCCCUCUUUCGUCUUCAAAACUAUCGGUAUACCUUACUCGGAGUUAUAUUUUUAUUCGUCACAUGAUAUGUGUUUUGCUUGGAGCGUAUUUCCAAUUUUACUUGAUGUUUGAAUAAAAUCAUUGGAUCGGAAAUAUUAAAUGAAAAAGAAUCCUCCCAUGGCUAGUUAAUUAUUUGACUACUCAGUGUCCUUCACUGUUAUCUUUUGGAGUAGUUUGUCAUUUACUCGCGUGCUUCACGUAUAUCCUAUGAGUAAAUGGUUGAAUAAUUAAAUAUCAUAAAUCUUAAUUUAUAUAUGUUUCAUAUGCUUAUACCAUGAGGAGUAAUGACUUCACAUAGAAUAAGUAUAGGUAGUAAACUUAUUGAAAGUUAGCAAACGUAUAAUUGGUCACUUGAACAAUUCAUGAAAGAAUAUUGAAGGAAGAGAGAUUUCACAUAUAAAUAUACUAUAUUGGACAUCUUUUGUAAUUGUGAGAACUCAUUAAAAUAUGACAUGCUAAAAGGUUGAUGUCGGACAAGGAAGACAAUGUAAUGGGUUAUGUUUUCUUAUAUCCAAAAUAAAGUAUAUUGUCUUGGAUCAUCCAACAUGUUGAGCUUGCUUUCCCCCUCAUGCUAGCCAAAUUCUUUGCACCAAGUAGAGAUACUACUUGUGCUUCCAAACAUUCCCUAAACCAGUUUUGCCAUGAGAGUCCACCAUACCUACCUAUGGAUUGAGUAAGAUCCUUCAAGUAAGUUGUCAUCGGUGCAUGCAAUAAAAAUUGCCCUCUAAAUAUGUAUGAUCUAUUAAUGUGGAGAAAAUAAGAUUUAUACGAUCUUGUGAUGUGGAAGAAAUAAAAGUGACAUGCUACAUAAUAAAGGUCCAUAUCACAAGUGGCAAUAUAAAGUGACGUUCUUUCGCAUUAAGAUUUUGUGCAUCCAACAAUAAAACCGCAUGACAACCUCUGCUUCCCUCUGCGAAGGGCCUAUCUUUUACUUUUAUCUUCUACCCUUAUGCAAGAGUCAUGGUGAUCUUCACCUUUCCUUUUUACAUUUUAUCCUUUGGCAAGCACAUUGUGUUGGAAAGAUCCUGAUAUAUAUAUCCAAUUGGAUGUAAGUUUCAUGAACUUUCUCUGUGUUCGAUUAAAACUUUGAACCCAUAAAUAUCACAUGAGUGUUAGCAAUUGUGAAAGACUAAAUGAUAGUUGAGUAUUUGAAGUUUGCUAAAUCAAAGCUCUGACAUAGACCCUUCCUGAAAAUAAGAUGAAUUGCAAUUGUUUGAUGACUGAGAAUAUAGUUUGUUAGUUUCAAGAAAGUUUAUGAUCUAUACUUUAACAUGUGAAUAGCUUGUUACUUGAUCAUGAAAAGUUUUAUGAAGAUGAGAUACUGUUAUGAUAUAUAAUGAUGUUAUAAAAAGUGAUUGAAACUACCAUUGAUGAAACUUAUGCACUUCCUAGCAUUCACACUUCAUAAAUUAUUCCUUUUAUCAUUUACCUACUCGAGGACAAGCAGGAAUUAAGCUUGGGGAUGCUGAUACGUCUCCAACGUAUCUAUAAUUUAUGAAGUAUUCAUGCUAUUAUAUUAUCAACCUUGGAUGUUUUAUAUGCAUUUAUAUGCUAUUUUAUAUGAUUUUUGGGACUAACCUAUUAAUCUAGUGCCUAGUGCUAGUUUCUGUUUUUUUCCUUGUUUUUGAGUUUUACAGAAAAGGAAUAUCAAACGGAGUCCAAUCGACGUCCCAAUUUUUGACGAUUUUUUAUGGACCAAAAGAAGACCCCGGAGUAAAAGAGUUGGGCCAGGAGAGUCCCGGGGCGUCCACGAGGGUGGGCCCCCCCCCAGGCAUGUGGGCCUGCCUCGUGGACGCCUCGGGCACCUCCAUGACGUGAGGCCGACGCCAAAAAUUCCUAUAAAUACAGAAACCUCGGAAAAUUAACCUAGAUCGGGAGUUCCGCCGCCAGAAGCCUCCGUAGCCACCGAAAACCAAUCUAGGCCCUCUCUGGUACCCUGCCGGAGGGGCCAUCAUCACCAUGAAGGCCAAGGACCAGAGGAAGAACCUCCCCCCAUCUAGGGGGAGGCCAUGGAGGAGGAAGCACAAGGGGGAGAACCUCUCAUCCUCUCUCUCUCUCAGUGGCACCAGAGUGCCAUUGGGAGGGGAAUCAUCGUCGCGGUGAUCGUCUUCAUCAACAUCACCAUCAUCAUCUCUUUUACGUGGUCCACUCUCCCGCACCCCGCUGUAAUCCCUACUUGAACAUGGUACUUUAUGCCACAUAUUAUGAUCCAAUGAUGUGUUGCCAUCCUAUGAUGUUUUGAGUAGAUAUUAUUUGUCUUUGGGUUGAUUGAUGAUCUAGAUUGGUAUGAUUUGUAUGUUUUACUUUGGUGUUGUCCUAUGGUGCCCUCCGUGUCGCGCAAGCGUGAGGGAUUCCCGCUGUAGGGUGUUGCAAUACGUUCAUGAUUCGCUUAUAGUGGGUUGGUGAGUGACUGAAACACAAACCCGAGUAAGGGGGUUGUUGCGUAUGGGAAUAAAGAGGACUUGAUGCUUUAAUGCUAUGGUUGGGUUUUACCUUAAUGAUCUUUAGUAGUUGCGGAUGCUUGCUAGAGUUCCAAUCAUAAGUGCAUAUGAUCCAAGUAGAGAAAAUAUGUUAGCUUAUGCCUCUCCCUCAUAUGAAACUGCAAUAGUGAUUACCGGUCUUGUUAAUGAUUGCCUAGGACAAUUCCGCACACCGAUCCACCAUUAUUCCACACUCGCUAUUUAUAAUAUUUAGUAAUAUAUUCUAACUUUAUGAUAACAGCACCUACUUUUAUAUUUUAGCUCUCCGAUAUCAUAAAAAGUUAUCGUCUUCAUACCCACAUCAUAGUUUUAUUUCUCGUUGCUAGUUGGAAGCAAACGUUCGGUGUACGUAGAGUCGUAUCAGUGGCAUAUAGGGCUUGAGAGAAUAUUGAUCUUACCUUUAGCUCCUUGUGGGUUCGACACUCCAUACUUAUCACUUCCACCUUUGGAAAUUGCUAUGAUGAUUCCCUGCACUUGGGGAUUAUCACGUAACAAUUGGUUUGCAGAUUACCAAACGAUCCAAAGAUUGACCAGCCGCAAGUGCCAAGCCCUCGGGGCAUGCUAUGUGCUUGAGAGCUGUUGGAUUAUUAACACGAGGUAGAACAAUAGUUGAAGACCCGAGGUACCGACCUUGUUCAUUUCUGCAAAUUGCAGCAGUAACUCGAACAGUCCUGUCAUGAGACAGACCACUGUCUACAUGGAUUUUAACGUGGAUAAUCUAAGGCGGUUUUCAAGCUCUUUGAACAUUGAAAACUUGGGUGUGUCUCGCCGGAUUGGCCGCAUUGGACUGCGUAUUCAAUCCAUCCAACUUAACAAUGAAUUUUUAAAUGAAUAGGUGAGUUAACAUUGGGCUUUGACAAAUUGACUCAUGAAUAGAUUUUCUACUUGUAGUCCAAAGUGCCCAAAGUGUGACGGACAUUUCCACGAAGUCCACAUGCGAUAAUGAAACCAUCAUGUUAAAAGCCAGUUUUUUGCAUUGGGUUCGUGAGUCUCGAUAAUAAGGUUAGUUAACUCUUCAUCACCUAGAGCCCAAACAAACCUUGAAGCUGUACAGUCAAUCAGUGAGUGCCUCCAGGAAUCAACAGCUCCACACAGAUGGCAAGAAUCUGUGUUACACAUUUUUCGAUGAUGUCUCAUGUCCUUUGAUGGAAAAUAAUGCCUUGCCAUUCUCCAAAGAAAAGUCAUGGUCUUUUCAGGAACUUUAGUCUUCCAUAUGGAUGCCCAACACCUCUCUUCCAUUGCACUAUUGGAAGCAGUCCCUCUUUGACCUAGCAAAUCAUCCCUGAUGUUUCUUAACUUAACCAGCAAGAGGUAUGCAAAGCUGGCAGAGAAUUCUCCUUUCUUUUCAAAUCGCCAUGCCCAAAAAUCUGUCAUCAGAGUAGUACAAAGUGGUACGUUCUUUAUUGCUUGAACACCAGAUGAAAGUAAAAAUUGUUGCAACUUGUCAUCUCUCCAUGUUAUCGAGCUACUGUCAAUCAAGUCACUGACAAGAGUUGGAGGAUUGCUAGCCAGACAUGCUACUGACCUCCUCGCCGAGUCUCUCUAGUUGUCUACCCAAAAUCGGGUAUUUGCGCCACCCCAAUGCGCCUUAUGAUUCCAUGCGAGAACACGCCUCUUUCCUCCAAGAUAGAUCUCCAUACUUGAGACAGGUGUGAUCCCAGCUCGACAUUUAGAAUAUCAUUAUUUGGGUAAUAAAAACACUUAAGAAGAGUCCAGUCUUGUAAGGAGGUGCCAUGACUGUCGAGCUAACAAAGCUAGGUUGAGCAACUCAAUGUCCCUGAAACCCAAACCUCCACACUUCUUUGGUUGAGUCAUAGCUCUCCAAGAAACCUAGUGUGGUUUCGGUUGCCCUUCUUUGCCGCCCUAAAAAACUGGCAGAUGAGUUUGUUCAACUUUUCACAUAAACCUCUGAAGCAUGACAUUGAAAAAACUGGAACGUCAUGUGCCACUGAUUUAAUAAGAAUUUAUUUGCCUGUUGCUGAAAUAAUUUUCUCAACAACCCUUCACCUUAGACCACAACCCUCUGGUAGGUACUUCAAAGCACCCAUCUUUGAAGAACCAAUGUCAGAUGGCAUGCCCAAGUACUUCUCAUCACGAGUCUCAGUAUGAAAAUUAACUACCCCUUUCACUUCUUAUCUGAUGUUGUCUAGUGUUCCCUUGCUGAAAUAAACUGAAGACUUGUUUGUGUUGAUCCUCUACUUCGAAGCUUGACAAUAAGAGUCUAACAAGUUUGACACUUUCCUCGCCCUAGAACCAUUUGCCUUGAAAAACUGCAGGUUAUCGUGAGCAAAUAACAAGUGGUUAACUCAUGGUGCUGAAGGAGCCACUUGAAUCCCACUCAAAUGCAACGAAUGAUCUCUUUUGAGGAGGCCAUAAAGGCCCUCUGGUGCUAAGAGGAAAAGGUAGGGUGAAAUUGGGUCUCCCUGCCAGAUACCUCUCAAAGUAUUGAAAUCGUCAAGUUUCUUGCCAUUGAAUAGAAUUGAGUAUGAGACAGAUUUGACCAUAUUCAUGAUAAUUGAAACCCACCUCUUAGAAAAACCAAGCUUAAGCAUGAUAGCUCCAAGUAUGUCCAGACCAUUCUACUAUAUCAUAUGCUUUCAUCGUGUCCAGCUUCAGCGCACAAUGACGAUGUUUUCGAGCUUUAUUUUGUUUCAUAAAAUGCAAGCAUUCAUAAGCAAUAAUGAUGUUGUCAGUAAUAAGCCUCCCUGGAAUGAAGGUAGACUGCUCUACGGAAAUAAUAUAUGAGACGGUCUCUUUCAGCCGGUUAGCAAUAACUUUAGAUGUAAUCUUGUAUAGAACAUUGCAUAGGCUGAUUGGUCAGAAUUGGGUUAAAGAAGAGGGUUUUUUAAACCUUUGGGAUCAAAACUAGACAAGCAGUAUCCAUGCACUCACAUUCUCUAUGCCUUCCACAAUGCACAAUACUUCAUCUCCACAUAUCUCCCAAUGCUUCUAAAAGAAGUGCGUCGGGUAGCCAUCUGGAACCUGAGCUUUCAUAGGAAACAUUUGAAAUGGGGAUGCUUUUACAUCAAGGGUGGUGUAUGUGGCAUUUAGAUAUGCGUUCAUAUAUGUUGUCAAUUAGGUGGCACCGCAUCCAACACAUCAUGCAUGUUGGUAACACCUUCUAACGUGUAGAGACUUUUGUAAAACAUUGUUGCCAUCUCCUCAAGCUUAGUUAUGUUACUGAUCACGUCACGAUUAGCAUUUUGCAUGGAUUUUAUGGGGUUCUUCCUUCUCCUCAUAGUAUCUCUAACGUGGAAGUAGCGAGAAGUGUUUUUAUCACCUAUUUUUUAUGGUUAAAAAGAAGGAAAAAGGGCCAGGCCCGAGACGGAGGGGUGUGACGGGCAGGCGAAUUGGCUGUGCACGUCUACGUAUAGCUCGUAUAUGCCACAUAUGGAGGUGGGUAUACCUUACGGUCAAAUGACAAUAGUUCACUUAUACGGUUUGUGCGGGGGGUGCACCGAAGCAAGGCUCUAUAAACAUAGCAUGAAACAAUAACAAAUUAUAGAUACAUUUGAGACGCAUCAGAAUUUUGAUGCUAGGAUCAAAUUCCAAAGUUACAAGAUAGCACCUACUUGGCUAAUUUUUAAAGAGUACAUAAUAUGUAGUGAUGUACUUUGAACCAGACAAUCAUGCGAGGAAUUGUCUCGUGAUUGAUAAGAGAAAGUAAUUAGAGGAUCAACCUUGAGCAUAGAGUUACCCCCCUCCCCAUGUAUUGUGUACUAAAUCUAAAUACAAUAUACAUAUCUUUACUAUAUAUUUAUGUAUUAACUGUAGAUCUCAAUGCAUAUCUCCAUGGCCUGACAAGAUCCAAAAGUUAUAUCGUGCUAUAUAUCUAGCUAUUACGAAAUGUAUAUCUACAAGAUACAUUGACUAUUGGUGAAUUUAUCAUGUAUAUAGUAUGUAUAUCCAGGAGGCAUGUAUUACUAGUAUGUAGCUUUAUCUGGUCUUAAUUACAUUUUUAUACAUUUAUUAUUUUCUCUCCUAAACUAAUCCCUAAAAUAAGAGAUUUUGCUUGGUUAAUUCACCCCAUUAUUAUCAUAUCUUAUAGAAUCAUUUUUAUAGCAUAUUUAGUGGUAAAAAAAAUGCAGUCAACAUGUCUAGGUUCAUUGUGUCAUUAACUUUCAUAUAUUUUUAGGAGGCAUUUACUAUUCGCUAAAUAGAUUAACUUUCCUAUUCUCUUUACUACCAAUUAGAUCCUCAAUAUUCGUAUAUUUUGUUUUAAUAUAAUUUAUUAGGAUAAGCACAAGCUUCAUGCCAUGAUAUCUAUAUAAAGCGAGUAUUUGCUUGGACCAAACACAAACAUACAACUGAACGCAGUAUUGCAUAGUGCUCUCUACUGCUCUUUGUGAAUUUAGGCGAUGGCAAAUAAUAGCAUUCUCCAAGUCUUUGUUGUUUUUCUCAUUGCGCAAGUCUGCUUGCUCAUGAUGAUUGCAGCACCGGUAGCACAGGCAGCCGGCAGGCUUAUGGGAUACAACCCAGUUUGCUGCCCUAGGGACAUCUAUUGUUGUGGGCUCGGUGGCGUGAUGGCCAAUGGAACCGCAUCCUCCAUGAAGCCUUGAUAUGUGGUUUUUUCUCCUCCGAUAAAUAAGCUAGGACAUAUAAAAUAUGCUCCCAUGUGUGGUUUGUUGUUCCACAUAUAUAUUUUGUGUUGCUAGUUUCCAGAAAUGUUAUUAUAUAAGCUAUUUUUCUAAUAAAGUGGGAGGAGAUUAUUACUUAUGUUGUUUGCAAUGUGCCACAAAGAGAUUACAAUUAUGUCGAAAUCAAUGUUUUUAGAGGACCAUAUCAUCCUAUAUUUUUAUGGUUAAAUCCAUGUUAUUGUCAUAAUUGCACUAUUUGUUGUUGAUUCCAAUGUAUUGCUAAACAUAUCAGUUAACCCAUCAAAUAAAGUAUUAGUUUGUUGCAGAAAUGGGUCAAAUACC